RNAcentral lists this ribosomal RNA (497 nucleotides) under uncultured bacterium. RNAcentral's name for it is "partial 16S ribosomal RNA". It matches the Rfam family "Bacterial small subunit ribosomal RNA", at positions 28 to 507 of the family's 1533-position model. The record is from RNAcentral.
GAUGAACGCUGGCGGCGUGCCUAAUACAUGCAAGUCGAGCGAACAGAUGAGGAGCUUGCUCCUCUGACGUUAGCGGCGGACGGGUGAGUAACACGUGGAUAACCUACCUAUAAGACUGGGAUAACUUCGGGAAACCGGAGCUAAUACCGGAUAAUAUAUUGAACCGCAUGGUUCAAUAGUGAAAGACGGAUUUGCUGUCACUUAUAGAUGGAUCCGCGCCGCAUUAGCUAGUUGGUAAGGUAACGGCUUACCAAGGCAACGAUGCGUAGCCGACCUGAGAGGGAGAUCGGCCACACUGGAACUGAGACACGGUCGAGACUCCUACGGGAGGCAACAGUAGGGAAUCUUCCGCAAUGGGCGAAAGCCUGACGGAGCAACGCCGCGUGAGUGAUGAAGGUCUUCGGAUCGUAAAACUCUGUUAUUAGGGAAGAACAAAUGUGUAAGUAACUAUGCACGUCUUGACGGUACCUAAUCAGAAAGCCACGGCUAACUACGUG